GAGAGUUUAAGACAAUAUUAAUAGAAAAAAAGGCGAAAGAUACUAACUGUCCAAAAUAAGCUGACAAAGACAAGGAUAAUAAGAAAAUAACAGUAUACAAAUACAUAACAUAGAAAACUAAAGACAGAACAACAUAAACCCCACCAAACACUGAGGUGAUCUUAGGUGCUUAGAAAACAUGCAUCAGUUUGUAUUUGAAAAAAGUUAGCUCCGUUUUUUGUUUCUAUUUCCGGUUGGAAUAUUUACCAGUCUGAAUCCGACCCACUAUACAUCGAAUCAUCUGAAGAUAUUUCAUCAGGAUCACACCAUCUGUUGUCCGAGUCUGGAACAACUCCGGUGAAUUUUAUUAAUUUUAAACAUGCGGCUGGUACCGUACCUAUCAGUUAAACUUCCUGAUGACUUUCUGCAAAUUUAUUAAAUCUUUCAUUAACAUCUUUGUCAUUUGUCUCGUGGUCUUUCCUCAAUUUAUUUGUUCUCAAAUCAAUUAUUGAUACGUCUACCGGUAAGCUUCCAACGUCGAUUUUAGCAAUGUCCUUCAUACCCCAUCUAUGUCCACUGUUCAGUUUUAAACUCCUUAACGAUUCUGCUUUGUAAAGGGAUGAACAUGUUGAAAUGUACUGAGAAGAAUACUCUCUUGUACUUCCAGUUGCAACAUGGAUAGCAACUUUUUCCUUUUUAUCUGGUGAUUUUGCUGAUAAUCCCUGAGUUAUAUCUUCAUCCUC
Molecule: long non-coding RNA, 722 nt
Filed under: Mytilus galloprovincialis (Mediterranean mussel)
Lineage: Eukaryota; Metazoa; Mollusca; Bivalvia; Mytilida; Mytilidae
Source: RNAcentral